Molecule: ribosomal RNA, 460 nt
Filed under: uncultured bacterium
Lineage: Bacteria
Description: partial 16S ribosomal RNA
Rfam family: Bacterial small subunit ribosomal RNA
Source: RNAcentral
CCUACGGGAGGCAGCAGUGAGGAAUAUUGGUCAAUGGGCGGAAGCCUGAACCAGCCAAGCCGCGUGAGUGAAUAUGGCCCUACGGGUCGUAAACCUCUUUUGCCGGGGCGCAAGGGCGGGGACGUGUCCCGGCCCGGAGAGUACCCGGAGAAAAAGCAUCGGCUAACUCCGGGCCAGCAGCCGGGGUAAUACGGAGGAUGCGAGCGUUAUCCGGAUUUAUGGGGUUUAAGGGGUGCGUAGGCGGGCUGUUAAGUCAGCGGUAAAAAUUCGGGGCUCAACCCCGUCCGGCCGUUGAAACUGGGUGCCUUGAGUGGGCGAGAAGAAGGCGGAAUGCGUGGUGUAGCGGUGAAAUGCAUAGAUAUCACGCAGAACCCCGAUUGCGAAGGCAGCCUUCCGGCGCCCUACUGACGCUGAGGCACGAAAGUGCGGGGAUCGAACAGGAUUAGAUACCCGAGUAGUC